UCGUACGCUUAAGCGUAAGUCCUAGUGGCAUGCGUAACUUUAUGCGAUAGUCAAGCUCCAGGCCUUGGAACUUGGCAUUCGAUGACUGGUAAGUCCAAGGUCGGAUGAGGUCUAGUGGGAGGUGGCAGCUUCAACAGUACAUGCGUAAGGAUCAGGGAGGAGAUGCAACGCCGAUGCGAAUACAUGCCCUCCUGCGCUGACACUGACGCUCGAUACACGUAGAGGAGGCGGAGCAGCGAAUCAGGUACCAGUUGAUCGUCCUCGCUCCCUACAACGAUAAAGAGACUGUCAUGCUAGGUCGUCUAGCAAGGAUGAUCCAGUAUCGUAAGCGUAGCUAACGAAGUUAAGCUGCCUGCCGUAGUGAGUACGCUCGCAAGAAUAUCAACUCAAAUGAACUGACGCGCGCCCACACAAUCGAGUAUGUGAUGUGGUUUAGAUUGCGAUGCAAAGCGACAAUACCUUACCUACACAUGCAUGCCAGAAAUUAGACAGAGAGGAGGGAGUUCGGCAAGGAAUACACACACAGGGCAUGCAUGUCGUUAGUUAGUUUGUGUAGAGAGAUGGUGGAGUAACUCAACCAGCGCAACCAACCCCCUUCGUUAGUUGCAACUAAUAGUGGGGCAUUUAAGGAGGCCGCCCGGGGCCAACCCGAGGGAGGGGGGGGGGGAGUCAAGUUAUUCUUGCCCCUACGGCCAGGGGUUCCCCCCUUCUUCAAAUGUUGGGACAGAAGGGUGCAAGCCCCCGAGGGGGGAGCAAUUCUCGAAAACCCAUUUCUAUUCGGAAUGGCGUUUUCAAAUUGAAUCCAUGAAAUUGGAAUUGGUUGUAAUUGCAGAUCAACCAUGUCGCGGUGAAUACGUUCCCGGGCCUUGUACACACCGCCCGUCACACCAUGGGAGUUUGUUGCACCAGAAGCAGGUAGCUUAACCUUCGGGGGGGCGCUUGCCUCGGUGUGGCCGAUGACUGGGGUGAAGUCGUAACAAGGUAACCCUAGAGCGAA
RNAcentral lists this ribosomal RNA (997 nucleotides) under uncultured eukaryote. Its description in RNAcentral is "partial 18S ribosomal RNA". The stretch from base 359 to 997 matches the Rfam family "Bacterial small subunit ribosomal RNA", at positions 874 to 1510 of the family's 1533-position model. The record is from RNAcentral.